This is a long non-coding RNA of Centrocercus urophasianus (Greater sage-grouse), 490 nucleotides long. RefSeq lists it as uncharacterized. The record is from RefSeq and is a predicted model, not a curated record. NCBI's taxonomy places the organism in Eukaryota, Metazoa, Chordata, Aves, Galliformes, Phasianidae. The transcript is spliced from 2 exons.
CUCCCUCUCCUCCCUCCCCCAACGCGCACGCUGUAUAGAAAAUCUCCUCUCGGCGGCGGGAGGGCGGUGAAAUCCUUCGCUCUCCUCCCUCCGCUCUCCGUAACGCAAGCGAGCCGCCGCCUUCUGUUCCUCAGCCUCGGCCAAGUCGGCGUUUUGUUGACAGGCUCUGCCGGGCACAAAAUGGGGCUGCCGCUUCCAUGGGCGCCGCCAUUUUGUGAGGAGCCGCAGCGCUGGCUACGACCGCAGCUUCAGUACCGGCGGCGGCGGCGAUCCGAGCGCGGCGCGGCGGUGGCGGCCGGGGUCUGCUCAAUGGUUGAAUAGAGUGACCCCCUCCAGGGAAUCCCCAGCUGACGGUUACAUCUCUGACACCCCAACAAGUGUGACCCAAGGGCAGACCUUCAGCAAGCGCCUGGCUGCAUGUCUCUAUGCUUACGUUCAAGCUGAAACAGCACUCGAGGAAAAAAAACCUUCCUAAAAAAAAUUUUUAUAU